Molecule: unclassified non-coding RNA, 1294 nt
Filed under: Hevea brasiliensis (rubber tree)
Lineage: Eukaryota; Viridiplantae; Streptophyta; Magnoliopsida; Malpighiales; Euphorbiaceae
Source: RNAcentral
CAUGGCGUGUCAUUUGGUCAGCCAUUGGUAAAAUGUCAAUCCAACAUUUCUAAACCUUUCCCACAAAAUAUGGUAUCUGUUGAACUUGUUACUUCUGGACUUGGAGCCUGGACUUCUAAUACUAAUCCUGGAGGUAUGAGUACUCAAAAUGGUAGCAUGUUGAUGGACAUGUUACAUCAUCAGCAACAACCACAGCAGCAGUCAUUAUCAGAGCCCAGCCGUUCAAUUAAUGUACAGCCAUCUUGCCUGGUGGUCCCUUCUCAGUCAUCAGCCAGUUUUCAGGCAGGAAAUAGUCCUGCUUCAGUCAAUCAGAGUUGCAACUUUAACAGGAAUGCUGUCAUUGAUUAUAGCCUUCUGUCAUCUCAGUCAAAUAAUUCUUCAUUGAAUAUUGGGCACAUGCCAGAUGGGAAUCUAAAAACUACAGUUGUUGUUAAUGGGUACUCAGCCCCUGGUUCCAUAUCUCCUUCUGCAUCAUCAUGUUCUGUCAAUGCUGACAGUGGCAUCACUCGUCAAGUUCAAAAUUCAGCCAUUACCUUUGGAGCUGCUAGACAUUUACCAGGGCUUGAUUCAAAUAUUUGUGACAUCCUGUGUUCUUAUGGUGCAAAGUCAGGUGAAGUUCUUGAUCAAGGGCCACUUAGGAACCUUGGAUUUGUUGGUAAGGGGACUCGCCUUCCAAGCCGAUUUGCAGUGGAAGAAUUUGAGGCACCAAUUAAUAACUUAAGCCACGGGAAAAUUUAUGUGGAGAAUAGUGGCAGUAAAGUGAAGCAGGAGCCAAAUAUGGAAUACUUAGAUGUUGCGAGAGUGGGCAUUCCAGUAUUGCAGCAAUUUCCUCCAAAUGAUCUCAUGAGUGUCUUCACAGAAUAGGCUUUAUUUGUUUGGUGGAUUCAGGGGGGGAAGUUGCUAAUUGUCGUGGAAAGUACAGAUUAUUUGGUAUCAGAAGGGAUUCAAUUAGAUGUUUAUUAUGGACUUGAUUUCCGGUGCUUGCACUGUUUUCAGGCGAGCUGUGGAGCCUCCUCAGUAUUUACAGCAUUGAGAGGAAAAAUUGUACCUGUUAUUAUGAGUAAUUUCCGUUGAAGUGCUGGGGCCAAGCUCUACAUGUAUCAAGUAGUAUUUCCUUUGCUUUUCUUUUCUUUUCUUAAGUCCGUAGGAAAAAUAAGUUCCGUUAGAUUUCAACAGCUUGAAAUGAAGUCACAUAUGAUGGCAUCUUGCUUAUCGGUAGUUGUGUAGUUAUUUGGGUUCAAUGACGAUGAAAUGCUAAUGUGUUUAUAUUAUGCAAUUCAUUCACGAAGUGCAG